GAUGAACGCUGGCGGCGUGCCUAAUACAUGCAAGUCGAGCGAACGGACGAGAAGCUUGCUUCUCUGAUGUUAGCGGCGGACGGGUGAGUAACACGUGGAUAACCUACCUAUAAGACUGGGAUAACUUCGGGAAACCGGAGCUAAUACCGGAGAAUAUUUUGAACCGCAUGGUUCAAAAGUGAAAGACGGUCUUGCUGUCACUUAUAGAUGGAUCCGCGCUGCAUUAGCUAGUUGGUAAGGUAACGGCUUACCAAGGCAACGAUGCAUAGCCGACCUGAGAGGGUGAUCGGCCACACUGGAACUGAGACACGGUCCAGACUCCUACGGGAGGCAGCAGUAGGGAAUCUUCCGCAAUGGGCGAAAGCCUGACGCAGCAACGCCGCGUGAGUGAUGAAGGUCUUCGGAUCGUAAAACUCUGUUAUUAGGGAAGAACAUAUGUGUAAGUAACUGUGCACAUCUUGACGGUACCUAAUCAGAAAGCCCCGGCUAACUACGUG
This 497-nucleotide ribosomal RNA is filed under the name uncultured bacterium. Its description in RNAcentral is "partial 16S ribosomal RNA". It matches the Rfam family "Bacterial small subunit ribosomal RNA", at positions 28 to 507 of the family's 1533-position model. The record is from RNAcentral.